Non-coding RNA from Pseudonaja textilis, 159 nucleotides. The record is from RefSeq and is a predicted model, not a curated record. Lineage: Eukaryota; Metazoa; Chordata; Lepidosauria; Squamata; Elapidae.
UGUUUAGUCUAAUGAGGAGAAAAUGUAUCCAAAAUUAUCCCCUAAAUGUUGGAAAUUCAAUAAAGAAAUUAGAACAUAUUAUCAUUUAUGGUGGAAAUGCGCAAAAGCCCAAACAUAUUGGUUGAAAAUUAGAAAUUGGUUAGAAGAGAUGUAUAAAAU